UAGCGUAGGGUGCAAGCGUUAAUCGGAAUUACUGGGCGUAAAGCGUGCGCAGGCGGUUAUGUAAGACAGGUGUGAAAUCCCCGGGCUUAACCUGGGAACUGCAUUUGUGACUGCAUAGCUAGAGUACGGUAGAGGGGGAUGGAAUUCCGCGUGUAGCAGUGAAAUGCGUAGAUAUGCGGAGGAACACCGAUGGCGAAGGCAAUCCCCUGGACCUGUACUGACGCUCAUGCACGAAAGGCGUGGGGAGCAAACAGG
Molecule: ribosomal RNA, 255 nt
Filed under: uncultured bacterium
Lineage: Bacteria
Description: partial 16S ribosomal RNA
Rfam family: Bacterial small subunit ribosomal RNA
Source: RNAcentral